This is a non-coding RNA of Cajanus cajan (pigeon pea), 230 nucleotides long. NCBI's taxonomy places the organism in Eukaryota, Viridiplantae, Streptophyta, Magnoliopsida, Fabales, Fabaceae. The record is from RefSeq and is a predicted model, not a curated record.
AAAGGGGCACGUAUAUCGUAUCGUAUCUGGGAAGUACAAGGCGAUGAAAAAUCAGAAGACCAAAUUCCAACGGCUUGUAAGGACUCCGUGGCAAUUUUGAUUAUGUUUGAUCUAACAAGUCGAUGCACAUUAAACAGUGUCCUAGGAUGGUACAAAGAAGCAAGAAAAUGGAACCAGGUACAUAUAUCUUUUUUGGCACCAAUGGUUUAAAUUGUAUGCAUGUGGAUGCA